This 468-nucleotide ribosomal RNA is filed under the name uncultured bacterium. RNAcentral's name for it is "partial 16S ribosomal RNA". It matches the Rfam family "Bacterial small subunit ribosomal RNA", at positions 28 to 507 of the family's 1533-position model. The record is from RNAcentral.
GACGAACGCUGGCGGCGUGCUUAACACAUGCAAGUCGAACGGAAAGGCCCUGCUUUUGUGGGGUGCUCGAGUGGCGAACGGGUGAGUAACACGUGAGUAACCUGCCCUUGACUUUGGGAUAACUUCAGGAAACUGGGGCUAAUACCGGAUAGGAGCUCCUGCUGCAUGGUGGGGGUUGGAAAGUUUCGGCGGUUGGGGAUGGACUCGCGGCUUAUCAGCUUGUUGGUGGGGUAGUGGCCUACCAAGGCUUUGACGGGUAGCCGGCCUGAGAGGGUGACCGGCCACAUUGGGACUGAGAUACGGCCCAGACUCCUACGGGAGGCAGCAGUGGGGAAUAUUGCACAAUGGGCGGAAGCCUGAUGCAGCAACGCCGCGUGCGGGAUGACGGCCUUCGGGUUGUAAACCGCUUUCGCCUGCGACGAAGCGUGAGUGACGGUAAUGGGUAAAGAAGCACCGGCUAACUACGUG